CCCAGAUAGUUCCAUGGCAAAGGAUGAACCGAAACAUUCAAUAAGUGCAGAACAAAAGAUUUGAUAGAAAGCGGAGUAGAAGGACUAAAUAGAAUAACUGACUUUGCAACAUUAACAGCCUAACCCGAGUACACAACGUAAGUAUCAAUUAUCACAGUAACACAGGCCGCUCCCUUAAUAGUAGCUUUUCCAAUUAACAGAUAGUUAUUAGCAUAGAAAAGAUGGGAAAGAGCCAGCCCACCUCUUGGCCUAUAAGGUUAUAACAAUUG
This 269-nucleotide long non-coding RNA is filed under the name Elaeis guineensis (African oil palm). Its description in RNAcentral is "long non-coding RNA (EGUI_LNC042870)". Lineage: Eukaryota; Viridiplantae; Streptophyta; Magnoliopsida; Arecales; Arecaceae. The record is from RNAcentral.